UAUAGGUUAUUGCAUACGCCCUGG
This 24-nucleotide unclassified non-coding RNA is filed under the name Chlamydomonas reinhardtii. RNAcentral describes it as "small RNA Cre_2370". Lineage: Eukaryota; Viridiplantae; Chlorophyta; Chlorophyceae; Chlamydomonadales; Chlamydomonadaceae. The record is from RNAcentral.